RNAcentral lists this long non-coding RNA (1101 nucleotides) under Anas platyrhynchos platyrhynchos (common mallard). RNAcentral's name for it is "lncRNA (ENSAPLG00000030048.1)". Lineage: Eukaryota; Metazoa; Chordata; Aves; Anseriformes; Anatidae. The record is from RNAcentral.
AUGCCUUUUAUAAGCCAGCCCCUGCCUGCUGCCUCUGCGCCCACCCAGCCCCGUGGCCCUGGGAGGGAGAACGGGUUCACGGGGUGCCCCGAAUCGCCCGCCGGGGCAGGGAGGGGAAGGCAGGGAUGCCGAGCAGCUGAAAAGCAGCUGUGCCAGAGCCCGAGGCCUCUGCGCAGGCUCUGCAGCCCCGGAUUUGGGUUCUUUUAUGGCGGCUGGAACAGGGAGCACAGCCUGGGAGCAGCCCCCGGCCGCCGGCUUUUGAUGCUAACGAGCAGCCGCAGAUUUUUCCCAUUACAGACAAUAAAAAAAAAAAAACACAGCACCACUCCAACCCCAGCGCUGGGAGGACAAGGGCUCGGCGGGGAGUUUCGGUUUCGUUUCAUAGGACUCAACUUCUCCAGUCGGGCCCUCUCCACGUCCCCGAGGUGGCCAAGGGCUGGAGGCCACCAAACGGUGCCAGGCUGGGCUGCCACCACCCCUCUCUGCUCUCCUCCAGGCCCGUGGCAGCGUGCCACUGCUGUCCCUCGUGUUUAUGAAGGCAAAUUCUGCUUUUUUCAGCCAGCCCAGCUCCCUGACCCACCUCGCAGGGGCUCAGGCAGGUGGCACCUAGAGGGGAUGGUGGCCCUGGGGACGCGUGGGGACACAGCCAGACCCCAGCACCCACGGCUGUGCCGAGGCUGCGUGCGAGGCCAGGAGCUCACAGAGGCAAGAAACCACCACGAAGAGCUCAGCGCGCCCCCAGGGCACCCCGGUUAUGCCAAAGGAGGGAAAAGAAAACAAACAAAGGAGAACGAAGCCACCUCCUGUCAUCUCUCUCCUCCGUCCCUGCCAAGACAGCUCCGGGGAGCUGCAGGCUGCGUAAACACGCGCAGAAACCCUGCUCCACCCCUGGCCUGGAGCUGCGGAAGAUUUCAGGGAUUACCAAGGCCUUCCUCAAAGCCCCGGGAGCCCGGAGGCUGCUCCAGGGAUGCACAUCUCCUGGCCAUGCUGUCCCUGUCCCCACGUCCCCUCAGUUGUGCUGCAGCUGUUCUGAGGAGCAAGCCUCUUGCUCUGCUUUGGGUAUUCCUAAGACAGAGGGGCACUGAGAUCUGGUCCUGCUGA